UACAGAGGGGGCAAGCGUUGUUCGGAAUUACUGGGCGUAAAGGGCGCGUAGGCGGCCCGCUAAGUCGAACGUGAAAUCCCCGAGCUCAACUCGGGAACUGCGUCCGAUACUGGCGGGCUUGAAUCCGGGAGAGGGAUGCGGAAUUCCAGGUGUAGCGGUGAAAUGACGUAGAUAUCUGGAGGAACACCGGUGGCGAAGGCGGCAUCCUGGACCGGCAUUGACGCUGAGGCGCGAAAGCUAAGGGGAGCAAACGGGG
RNAcentral lists this ribosomal RNA (256 nucleotides) under uncultured bacterium. RNAcentral describes it as "partial 16S ribosomal RNA". It matches the Rfam family "Bacterial small subunit ribosomal RNA", at positions 524 to 777 of the family's 1533-position model. The record is from RNAcentral.